This 65-nucleotide transfer RNA is filed under the name Cheumatopsyche infascia. RNAcentral describes it as "tRNA-Tyr". Lineage: Eukaryota; Metazoa; Arthropoda; Insecta; Trichoptera; Hydropsychidae. The record is from RNAcentral.
AGUAAAGUGGCUGAAUAAAGUGAUAAAUUGUAAAUUUAUUUAUAAAUAGAAAUAUUUUUUUACUA